ACUCAGAGCUGCCCUUAGCCUGUGUUAUCCCUCCAAACCUGACCCCCCACAAAAUCCUGGGUUGACCCUGAACCUCAAAACUCCUUGAUCCUUUUGGUCUACUUUGGAGGUUCCUGGGUCCCCUUUGGGGCAGGGGUUUGGGGGUUCCUGGGUCCACUUUGGGAGCUCCUGGGACCCCCUUUGGGUGGGAUUGGUGAUUCCCAGGUCCUUUUUGGGGUCCCUCCUGUUUUGGGGGGGCUGAUUUGGGGCUCCCCCCAGGCGAGGCGAUGGCCCAGGCUCGGGGGCGCUGGCAGGAGCUGAAGGCCAAGUACGGGGAGGCCCUGGGGGCCCUGGAGGAGGCCGUGCCCGCUGCCCUGGAGCAGCUGGAGCGGGGCCAGCAGCUGCUGCAGCGAGGGAAGGCAGCCCUGGAGGCACGGCUGGAACAGCAAGAAGAGCUGAAGGUGAAGGUGCGUGAGGCCACAGAGAGACGGGACCAGCUGCUGCGGCAGGUUCAGGAGCGGCGCCUGCAGCGGCUCCGGCGGCAGGAGGAGCUGCAGGGACUGCGGGACAGAGCGGCCAGGUGAGGGCUGGGGACAGGGGACAGUGAGGGACAGGUGAGGGACAGGUGAGGGGGUCAUGGGAUGGGCACAGGUGAGAAGAGUUGGGGGCCCCUGGGAUUUUGGGGAGUGGUCCAGAGGUCCCGAGAGAGACUCAGGAGUUUGGGGGGACCUCCAGCAUGGGGGAAGGAUCCUCAGGGUACAGAAGAGCCCUGGAGGGGACCCGGUGGCAGUCCAGGUGUCCAGGUGGGGCUCCAGGGAUAGUGGGGGGGAUCCAGUGUAGCUAUGAUAUUUUCUAUAAAAUCCUUUCCUUAGAAUUUUUUUCUCCUGAGAAGCCAAGAGGCCUCAGAAACAAAAUGUAAACAAUAAAUUAUCUGCUGCUGUGGAAUGCA
Molecule: long non-coding RNA, 928 nt
Filed under: Junco hyemalis (dark-eyed junco)
Lineage: Eukaryota; Metazoa; Chordata; Aves; Passeriformes; Passerellidae
Description: lncRNA (ENSJHYG00000002300.1)
Source: RNAcentral